This 68-nucleotide transfer RNA is filed under the name Eoacmaea sp. AORI_YK#3426. RNAcentral describes it as "tRNA-Lys". It matches the Rfam family "tRNA". Rfam says of the family: Transfer RNA (tRNA) molecules are approximately 80 nucleotides in length. Lineage: Eukaryota; Metazoa; Mollusca; Gastropoda; Eoacmaeidae. The record is from RNAcentral.
ACCUAGAUGGCUGAGUUUAAGCAUUAGAUUUUUAAUCUAAAGACAGUUAAUAUGUUAACUUCUAGGUG